UAGGGAAUCUUCCACAAUGGACGAAAGUACUGAUGGAGCAACGCCGCGUGAGUGAAGAAGGGUUUCGGCUCGUAAAACUCUGUUGUUAAAGUAGAACAUAUCUGAGAGUAACUGUUCAGGUAUUGACGGUAUUUAACCAGAAAGCCACGGCUAACUACGUGCCAC
This 165-nucleotide ribosomal RNA is filed under the name uncultured bacterium. RNAcentral's name for it is "partial 16S rRNA". It matches the Rfam family "Bacterial small subunit ribosomal RNA", at positions 355 to 511 of the family's 1533-position model. The record is from RNAcentral.